CUGGCGUCCUUGGGUAGAGACUCCGAAGAUAGCUCGGGUGGUUCUAGGGUUUCAGAUUAUUCAUGAUAAUUUGCGAUUGAGAAUGUCCGAGUUCAUCGUUCCCGUUUUGUGGUGGUGGUGGUUCUUACUUCUUACAGAUUUAACUUUUUAUAUUAUUGACUGGAACUCAGUUCAAUGAAGACAAUUCAAUCAAUGGAAUAGUCGCUGGUCCAUUCUUAAGAUCUAGGGUUAACCAGUUUUAUGGCGGUUAACCACUAUAUACGAUGACAGAUUUCGUCAUUGUCUACACUUGCAAAGCUUGUAGGCGUUCUUGAAAUGCUUGUAUUGCAAGUCUCGUGCCACUUUACUUGAAUGUGGAUCGUUGAUCGCAACGAAAAAUUCAGACUUGACCUUCUCUUGGAGGCAUGCUGGCAUUAUGUUCUUUCUUCUUAAUCUCUUGUGACCUCAGUUCACGUACGAUUGUCGUUUUUACUGGAAGUAUGCUAGCAUUUUCUUGCCUAUUAUUCUUGUGGUAACUUUAUUGCAUAGGUUGACUGGGGAAAAAAUAACAAUUAUGCAAUGCUUGUUUCGGAUCUUAUUAUUUUACACAAUACAUCCAUAUCGGGAAUCUAUUUACAGCUCCGUACUUCACCUGGUGAAAUUUAAUUUGAUGCAUCUCUUAGGGGUAAUGUCCUCUGAAGGGGUAGCGAGCUUGCCUUUAAGGUGAUUUGGUUUUGCAAGAUCACAUGCUCUCUUUUGAAUUCUAAUUCUUUUGAUAUUCUGAGUCUUGUCAUCUGACAUUGAUUCAUUUUUGCUCCUCCCCCUUCCUUGAUUUUUUUUCCAGUAAUAUUGUUGCUAUAGGUUCAAGAUUGUCUACUUUGCUACACAGUGUGACAUGCUGUACAUUUGGAGACCUAUUGAUUUAGUUUUUGUCCACUUGCUAAGAUAGAUAUUGACAAUACUAUUAGUAUUUGAUGGUUAUGUAGCCCUAUGAGUUUCAUUAUGGAUUCUCAUUUCUUGUUUUCAUGGGUUCCCUGAGAUUAACCUUUGGUGAUAAUCUGUUGUUUACAUUGGAAUAAUUACUGCCUACAUGGUCAAGCUCUCAAGCAUGUCAUGGGGGUUUGCAUUUUUUGUGUAAGUUGGUGAUAAAUCAGUUGUUUACAUUGGAGUAAUUACUGCCUGCCUGGUCAACCUCUCAAGCAAGUCAAGGGGGUCUGCAUUUUUAUGUUUUUUAUCCGCGUUCAUACUAAAGCUUGCCUAUGGGUGAAAAUAUGUGAUGCUUGGCUGGAGUGAUUAUUGGUUUCCCGUGAUCUGAGAGGGGGCAUGUACUUGCCUUUUUUGUUUUGAUUCCAUAGCAAGAGUGCUUAUUGUGUUUCCUGUGUCUGCCUUUGGCGGUGAAGGUUCUCAAGAAAUCUGUUGCUCAUUGUUCUGAAAUGAGAUAUCAACUCCCCUCCCCUCCCCUCCUGGAAGCUAGCAGUUCUCUAAUUUUUUUCUUUUGUUGGAAUGCUCAAAAUUCUCCAUGACCUUAUUUUAGUUUAUGCUGCAACUUCGUUUUGGAGGAGCAUUGCUUGAUUGAUUCUCUUAUAUUGUGUUACUUUACCCAAGAUUUCUACUACGUUGCAACUGCUUAUUAUUACAGACAGUUUGAUUCGAUGCAUCUCCUUGGUCAUUUGACUUCUGGUAUGUUCUCCGUUGCUUUGACGUUUGUAGGAGAUUCAUUUGCCGCUCUUGCAAGAUGGUUAUAAUGUACUUAUGCUGCAUGUAUUGUAUGCAGCAGCUUAUUGCAGGAAAAAAGUAUAUUUUGAUUCAGAUUCAUCUUAUUAGGCAUUUGAUACUCUGGAAUUAGGAUUAUUAUUCUUCCACACAUUGAGAUUAUUAAUGUGAUGCUAUUGUGCAGAAUGGGUUUGGACUAAUUUUAUAGGGAGUUAAAUACUUUGUUGUUGCUUGAUUUUAUUGUCAGAGGCAUUUACGAAGUUCAAUACACAAAAAUUUUGCCGU
This is a long non-coding RNA of Tripterygium wilfordii, 1977 nucleotides long. RefSeq lists it as uncharacterized. The transcript has 3 exons. The record is from RefSeq and is a predicted model, not a curated record. NCBI's taxonomy places the organism in Eukaryota, Viridiplantae, Streptophyta, Magnoliopsida, Celastrales, Celastraceae.